Molecule: ribosomal RNA, 253 nt
Filed under: uncultured bacterium
Lineage: Bacteria
Description: partial 16S ribosomal RNA
Rfam family: Bacterial small subunit ribosomal RNA
Source: RNAcentral
UACAGAGGUCUCAAGCGUUGUUCGGAUUCAUUGGGCGUAAAGGGCGCGUAGGCGGCGGGGUAAGUCGGGUGUGAAAUCUCAGAGCUCAACUCUGAAACUGCACUCGAUACUGCUCUGCUUGAGGACUGGAGAGGAGACUGGAAUUCACGGUGUAGCAGUGAAAUGCGUAGAGAUCAUGAGGAAGACCAGUGGCGAAGGCGGGUCUCUGGACAGUUCCUGACACUGAGACACGAAGGCCAGGGGAGCAAACGGG